This 232-nucleotide long non-coding RNA is filed under the name Canis lupus familiaris (dog). RNAcentral describes it as "lncRNA (ENSCAFG00000057618.1, ENSCAFG00845020891.1)". Lineage: Eukaryota; Metazoa; Chordata; Mammalia; Carnivora; Canidae. The record is from RNAcentral.
CACUAAAAGAUCUUGGGACAUCUGACCAAAAAACCAGCAGAAGUAAAUACUUGUUAUCUUCAUUGGACUCAGUGGUUUGGAAUGUGGAAGAAAUUUCUGUUUAAAUUCCUUUGUAGUUUUUCAAAAAGACUUACAAGUUGAUUUCAAGUUUCUUCGCCCUUAGCAAGUGGACAGCAAUUUUAAAAGCCACUGAUCAAGAGAUGAAAUGUAAUCCUGAAGAGUAGAAGAGCAG